Long non-coding RNA from Nicotiana tabacum (common tobacco), 657 nucleotides. RefSeq lists it as uncharacterized. Lineage: Eukaryota; Viridiplantae; Streptophyta; Magnoliopsida; Solanales; Solanaceae. The record is from RefSeq and is a predicted model, not a curated record.
UAUCUCUCUCACCACCCUCCAUCGUCUGCCGUCGCCGAAAAUCGUCCAUGGCAGCGGCCCGUCGCCAAAUACCCCCAAAAUAUCACCCCAUAAUCCCCAACCUCCUCUCAUCACUAAUCUACCGUCAAUUUUUUCAAAAUCCCUGUCGCAUUCCAUGAAUUGCAGAUCUCAGAAUUCUAAAAAAUAAAAUAAAAUCUCCUUUUAUCAUUUCUCGAUCAAAUCGGCCAUGAUUACGGUUGAAAUUUACAUCAAUGGAUAGCUCUUGACAAGAGCUAUCAAUUGAUGUAAGAUUUAACCCGUUUUUUAAUUGUCGGAUUUUCGUCAACCGGUCGUUGACCGGUUAGGUGCUCUCCAAUUGACCUUUUCUGCUUUUCCGGCUUGCUGGAAUCAUUUUUCUCAAUCUGUUGAAACUCAGUAGGGAGGAUUCACAUUAAAGAGGUAAAUACCUUUAAUAAAUCAUGGGAAAUGGAAGGGAAGAACAUGAACUGGGUUUGAUUAUUAGUGUAAAGUGGCUGUAAUUGUAAUAAAUAGCGUUGAGUCAUCAGAUGGUUUAAAUCUAUGAAUUUGAUUCUAGUUUGGCAUUGUAUCUUGUUUCAAUUCAUUACAAAUGUAUUUCAAAUUUGAAACCCAACUUAUGAAGAUUGAUUAUCUCCAGAA